CCUUAAAGAACCUGCCUUUGUAGUGCUCACACAGAUUGUCUGAUGAAAAUGUAGCAGUAAAAAAUCUCUGCAGGCUUGUAGCUCAGGUGGUUAGAGCGCACCCCUGAUAAGGGUGAGGUCGGUGGUUCAAGUCCACUCAGGCCUACCAAAUUCGCUCCCGUGCUGCGUUGUGAAAUAACUCGCAUACUUCAGUAUGCUUCGUUCUUCCACGCCUUGCCGGAAUCGAAUUACGGUAAAUGAGAUUAACUACGAUGGGGCUAUAGCUCAGCUGGGAGAGCGCCUGCUUUGCACGCAGGAGGUCUGCGGUUCGAUCCCGCAUAGCUCCACCAUCUUUACUGCACAACACAAGAAAACUUCAGAGUGUACCUGAAAAGGUUCACUGCGAAGUUUUGCUCUUUAAAAAUCUGGAUCAAGCUGAAAAUUGAAACGACACACAGUUAAUGUGUGUUCGAGUCUCUCAAAUUUUCGCGACACGAUGAUGUUUUACGAAACAUCUUCGGGUUGUGA
Molecule: unclassified non-coding RNA, 507 nt
Filed under: Klebsiella oxytoca
Lineage: Bacteria; Pseudomonadati; Pseudomonadota; Gammaproteobacteria; Enterobacterales; Enterobacteriaceae
Description: partial 16S-23S ribosomal RNA intergenic spacer
Rfam family: Salmonella enterica Typhi npcRNA 44 (bases 395-500)
Source: RNAcentral